This 89-nucleotide transfer RNA is filed under the name Chloroflexota bacterium. RNAcentral describes it as "Chloroflexi bacterium (cold seep metagenome) tRNA-Ser". It matches the Rfam family "tRNA". Rfam says of the family: Transfer RNA (tRNA) molecules are approximately 80 nucleotides in length. Their secondary structure includes four short double-helical elements and three loops (D, anti-codon, and T loops). Lineage: Bacteria; Bacillati; Chloroflexota. The record is from RNAcentral.
GGAGGGGUGACCGAGUGGCUUAUGGUGACGGUCUUGAAAACCGUUUUCGCUUUCAGCGAACGUGGGUUCAAAUCCCACCCCCUCCGCCA